AUUGAACGCUGGCGGCAUGCCUUACACAUGCGAGUCGAACGGUAACAGGUCUUCGGAUGCUGACGAGUGGCGAACGGGUGAGUAAUACAUCGGAACGUGCCCAGACGUGGGGGAUAACGAGGCGAAAGCUUUGCUAAUACCGCAUACGAUCUAAGGAUGAAAGCAGGGGACCGCAAGGCCUUGCGCGUUUGGAGCGGCCGAUGGCAGAUUAGGUAGUUGGUGGGAUAAAAGCUUACCAAGCCGACGAUCUGUAGCUGGUCUGAGAGGACGACCAGCCACACUGGGACUGAGACACGGCCCAGACUCCUACGGGAGGCAGCAGUGGGGAAUUUUGGACAAUGGGCGAAAGCCUGAUCCAGCAAUGCCGCGUGCAGGAUGAAGGCCUUCGGGUUGUAAACUGCUUUUGUACGGAACGAAAAGGCUCUGGCUAAUACCUGGGGCACAUGACGGUACCGUAAGAAUAAGCACCGGCUAACUACGUG
This 482-nucleotide ribosomal RNA is filed under the name uncultured bacterium. RNAcentral's name for it is "partial 16S ribosomal RNA". It matches the Rfam family "Bacterial small subunit ribosomal RNA", at positions 30 to 507 of the family's 1533-position model. The record is from RNAcentral.